AGUUGUGAGGGGGACCUGGCUGCAACAUCUGUCACCCCUCUGAACGCCAGGGGCGGCUGAUCCGGCCGGGGAGAAGCAUGUCCUCGUCCUUCUCACUGCUCCGUGCGAGUCCCUCUGGGCAGCUGCGCGCUAGGUCGGCUAGAGGACGACAGCCCCCCACAGAGGAGAACCAUUUCUUCCGUUAAGGGUAUAGGUUCUGCGAAGUCUUGCUAGAACCUCCAGACAAACUCUCUGGAAGAAAUAGGAAGACUGAGUAAGUUUAAAGAGGAAAACGAUUGAAUUAUUAAUCUAU
Molecule: small nuclear RNA, 292 nt
Filed under: Octodon degus (degu)
Lineage: Eukaryota; Metazoa; Chordata; Mammalia; Rodentia; Octodontidae
Description: 7SK RNA (ENSODEG00000023054.1)
Rfam family: 7SK RNA
About the family: 7SK was discovered as an abundant small nuclear RNA in the mid-70s but a possible function has only recently been suggested. Two independent studies have found that 7SK RNA binds the CDK9/cyclin T complex (known as elongation factor P-TEFb).
Source: RNAcentral